This 84-nucleotide transfer RNA is filed under the name Pantanalinema rosaneae CENA516. RNAcentral's name for it is "tRNA-Ser". It matches the Rfam family "tRNA". From Rfam's summary of the family: Transfer RNA (tRNA) molecules are approximately 80 nucleotides in length. Their secondary structure includes four short double-helical elements and three loops (D, anti-codon, and T loops). Further hydrogen bonds mediate the characteristic L-shaped molecular structure. tRNAs have two regions of fundamental functional importance: the anti-codon, which is responsible for specific mRNA codon recognition, and the 3' end, to which the tRNAs corresponding amino acid is attached (by aminoacyl-tRNA synthetases). tRNAs cope with the degeneracy of the genetic code in two manners: having more than one tRNA (with a specific anti-codon) for a particular amino acid; and 'wobble' base-pairing, i.e. permitting non-standard base-pairing at the 3rd anti-codon position. Lineage: Bacteria; Bacillati; Cyanobacteriota; Cyanophyceae; Leptolyngbyales; Leptolyngbyaceae. RNAcentral also lists the same sequence under 8 other names. The record is from RNAcentral.
GGAGAGGUGGCAGAGUGGUCGAAUGCACUCGACUUGAAAUCGAGCAGGUGAUGAGCCUCGCGGGUUCGAAUCCCGCCCUCUCCG